This 445-nucleotide ribosomal RNA is filed under the name uncultured bacterium. Its description in RNAcentral is "bacterial SSU rRNA". It matches the Rfam family "Bacterial small subunit ribosomal RNA", at positions 337 to 797 of the family's 1533-position model. The record is from RNAcentral.
UCCUACGGGGGGCUGCAGUCGAGAAUCUUCGGCAAUGGGCGAAAGCCUGACCGAGCGACGCCGCGUGGAGGAAGAAGGCCUUCGGGUUGUAAACUCCUGUUGGGGGGAAUCAAUAAAUGAGAGCACCCCUGAGGAAGCACGGGCUAAGUUCGUGCCAGCAGCCGCGGUAAGACGAACCGUGCAAACGUUAUUCGGAAUCAUUGGGCUUAAAGAGCGCGUAGGCGGCGUCGUAAGUUAGAGGUGAAAUCCCAUCGGCUCAACCGUGGAACUGCCCCUAAUACUGCGAUGCUUGAGGGAGGUAGGGGCAUGUGGAACUUCCAGUGGAGCGGUGAAAUGUGUUGAGAUUGGAAGGAACGCCAGUGGCGAAAGCGACGUGCUGGAUCUCUUCUGACGCUGAGGCGCGAAAGCUAGGGUAGCGAACGGGAUUAGAUACCCGGGUAGUCAC